AGAGUUUGAUCCUGGCUCAGAUUGAACGCUGGCGGCAUGCCUUACACAUGCAAGUCGAACGGUAACAGGUCUUCGGAUGCUGACGAGUGGCGAACGGGUGAGUAAUACAUCGGAACGUGCCCGAUCGUGGGGGAUAACGAAGCGAAAGCUUUGCUAAUACCGCAUAAGAUCUACGGAUGAAAGCAGGGGACCGCAAGGCCUUGCGCGGACGGAGCGGCCGAUGGCAGAUUAGGUAGUUGGUGGGAUAAAAGCUUACCAAGCCGACGAUCUGUAGCUGGUCUGAGAGGACGACCAGCCACACUGGGACUGAGACACGGCCCAGACUCCUACGGGAGGCAGCAGUGGGGAAUAUUGGACAAUGGGCGCAAGCCUGAUCCAGCCAUGCCGCGUGAGUGAUGAAGGUCUUAGGAUUGUAAAGCUCUUUCACCGGAGAAGAUAAUGACGGUAUCCGGAGAAGAAAGCCCGGCUACUUCGUGCAGCAGCCGCGGUAAUACGUGCCAGCAGCCGCGGUAAUAC
This 516-nucleotide ribosomal RNA is filed under the name uncultured bacterium. RNAcentral describes it as "bacterial SSU rRNA". It matches the Rfam family "Bacterial small subunit ribosomal RNA", at positions 8 to 526 of the family's 1533-position model. The record is from RNAcentral.